AUGGACAAUGGGAUGCAAUAUUAACACCCAGAUCCUCUAUCACUAACACAUACUCUACGCAUUCCAGCAGAACCAGGUAUAACGCCUGAUACUUCAGGGUGGGUGUUUGCUCUUGAUUGAGAACAAUCAUCGAUAAUAAGCCAAAACAUCACAUGCUAGAUCUCAGUAAGACACGCUUUUACUACCAAAGGUUUGUAUAACAUUACCCCCCCCCCCCAAUCACCUCUAUAGUCGGCUGCUAACGUGGCUCCACCUCGGGCUCCAACAGCAUUGGCUCCAGUGUCACAGUCAUAUGUGCUUGCCAUAUUUGUACUAUGACAUUGUGUGGUGUAUCGGUCUCGCUUCUUCAGCAGUGGUAAUCCAUUAAGCACAUCAUCUGUCAAGUUGAUUAUCCAUGUAGCAUCAUCCGCAGAUUGAGUUACCAAAGUUCUGAGUAGAACUAUCCUGGAAAUCUCUCCGUCAUUAUAAAGUUCAUGGAGAUCAAUCAAUAACUCGUGAGUAACGUUAUUAGUUGAAUUGCUUAUAAGCGGAUUAUCGAUAUAUAUAUGGUUCAUUAAUGCAGUCAUCUUGCUAGCAUUAUAUAAUUCAUUUACGAUAUAUCUGAAUUCAUAGUGCUGUGUAGUGUUAUCUGGAGGAAAUUGGGCUACCCAGAUUACAGCUGGAGCGUCUUCGAGGUCAGUUGGAAAGCAACUGAUUAGUGUAACCAACGAUAGAUAGCAACGUAACUAAUAAUAGCAAUCUCAUCGGUAAAAUAUUAAAAAGAGGAUGAAGAUAGUUCCAAAUUUCUAUGAUAUUGACGUUCUCUUGAUCGCUAUAUAUUACUAAGCCUCAGAGCAUACAAACACCUACUUACUGCGGAACGAAAAUAAGGGUUAUAGGAUAAUCCUUUGUAUG
Schizosaccharomyces pombe (fission yeast) is the source of this 894-nucleotide non-coding RNA. NCBI's taxonomy places the organism in Eukaryota, Fungi, Ascomycota, Schizosaccharomycetes, Schizosaccharomycetales, Schizosaccharomycetaceae. The record is from the annotation of a GenBank genome assembly.